This is a non-coding RNA of Camelus dromedarius (Arabian camel), 472 nucleotides long. The record is from the annotation of a RefSeq genome assembly. Lineage: Eukaryota; Metazoa; Chordata; Mammalia; Artiodactyla; Camelidae.
GGGGGUCCUCGAGUGCUGUCCCGUCCUUUCCUCCUCCAGGAUGCGGUCUGUCACAGCCAUCACCCUGCUCCUGGCUGUCCUCCAAGAUGUCCAUGCCCAGGUGCAGCUGGAGCAGCCUGUGGCAGAGCUGAAAAGGCCCGGGGAGGCUCUGAGGAUCUCCUGUAAGACUUCAGGGUACAGUUUUACCAGCUACUGGAUCGGCUAGGUGCGCCAGAUGCCUGGGAAAGGCCUGGAGUGGAUGGGGGCCAUCUAUCCUGGUGACUCAGAUACCAGAUACAGCCCGUCCUUCCAAGGCCACAUCACCAUCUCUGCAGACAAGUCCACCAGCACUGCUUACCUGCAGUGGAGCAGCCUGAAGUCCACGGACUCGGCCGUGUAUUACUGUGCAAAGGACAUAGUGCCCAUCAUGGAAGCCUUUGCCAUCACUCCAGACUCCAGACCAGUUGGUUGGGGAUCCAUUCGUGAGUUCUGA